GUUUUUCCUGAGCAGCCUGCUGGGAGUGAAAUUGAGUGGGAGCCACUGCACUGGUCAAUUUACCUCCCAGCAGGCCC
Molecule: microRNA precursor, 77 nt
Filed under: Chlorocebus sabaeus (green monkey)
Lineage: Eukaryota; Metazoa; Chordata; Mammalia; Primates; Cercopithecidae
Description: miRNA (ENSCSAG00000026751.1)
Source: RNAcentral